GAGUUUGUUCCUGCCUCAGGACGAACGCUGGCGGCGUGCUUAACACAUGCAAGUMGAACGGAAAGACCGGGUGCUUGCACCGGGUACUCGAGUGGCGAACGGGUGAGUAACACGUGGGUGAUCUGCCCUGCACUUCGGGAUAASCCUGGGAAACUGGGUCUAAUACCGGAUAGGACCAUUGGUUGGUAUUGGUGGUGGAAAGUUUUUCGGUGCAGGAUGAGCUCGCGGCCUAUCAGCUUGUUGGUGGGGUAAUGGCCUACCAAGGCGGCGACGGGUAGCCGGCCUGAGAGGGUGGACGGCCACAUUGGGACUGAGACACGGCCCAGACUCCUACGGGAGGCAGCAGUGGGGAAUAUUGCACAAUGGGCGCAAGCCUGAUGCAGCGACGCCGCGUGGGGGAUGACGGCCUUCGGGUUGUAAACUCCUUCAACCAGAGGAAGUUAGUGACGGUAGUGAGAGAGCCCGCUGAGCACUAUAAA
This 479-nucleotide ribosomal RNA is filed under the name uncultured Corynebacterium sp. RNAcentral describes it as "bacterial SSU rRNA". It matches the Rfam family "Bacterial small subunit ribosomal RNA", at positions 9 to 510 of the family's 1533-position model. The record is from RNAcentral. Lineage: Bacteria; Bacillati; Actinomycetota; Actinomycetes; Mycobacteriales; Corynebacteriaceae.